UAGUUAAUUAAAACAGUCGCUUUUAUUAAUUAAUAAAAGAGGAAAGUCCGGACUCCGCAGGGUAUUGGUGCCAGAUAAUUACUGGGAAGUUAAAACUUACGAAUAGUGCAACAGAAAAAAUACCGCCAUAUUUAAAAAUAUGGUAAGGGUGAAAAGGUAUGGUAAAAGCAUACCGAUAUAUUAGUAAUAAUAUAUGUCAAUGUAAACUCCACCAGGAGCAAGGCUAAAUAAGAUUCGUAUUUACCCGUACUAUGAAUCUGGGUAAGCUGCUUGAAAUAAUAAGCGAUUAUUAUUCUAGAUAAAUGACUGUUCUAGACAGAAUCCGGCUUAAUAAUUAACUUUAUU
Molecule: RNase P RNA, 345 nt
Filed under: Enterobacteriaceae endosymbiont of Donacia simplex
Lineage: Bacteria; Pseudomonadati; Pseudomonadota; Gammaproteobacteria; Enterobacterales; Enterobacteriaceae
Description: RNase P RNA component class A
Rfam family: Bacterial RNase P class A
About the family: Ribonuclease P (RNase P) is a ubiquitous endoribonuclease, found in archaea, bacteria and eukarya as well as chloroplasts and mitochondria. Its best characterised activity is the generation of mature 5'-ends of tRNAs by cleaving the 5'-leader elements of precursor-tRNAs.
Source: RNAcentral